Long non-coding RNA from Chiroxiphia lanceolata (lance-tailed manakin), 401 nucleotides. RefSeq lists it as uncharacterized. NCBI's taxonomy places the organism in Eukaryota, Metazoa, Chordata, Aves, Passeriformes, Pipridae. The record is from RefSeq and is a predicted model, not a curated record. The transcript is spliced from 2 exons.
AGGGAUUGGUCAGAGUUUCUCCCAAGCCUUUGUUUUCCAAGUGAAAAUCCAAAAGGGGGAAUUGUAGGUGCAGCUUUGCCCUGGAGCUGCAGCUGGAGCCUGGCAAAGAACAAGGAAAACCUCCCUGGGGAAGGAAGGGGGAGAAAGACAAGAACAGCAGCUGCAGCCAGAAAGGUUGGUUUGGGUGUGAGAAGAGCUGCUGAGACCCAGCAAGGGGCUCUAGGGGGAGGAAUCUGGGGUCCCUCCAAAGGCUCUGGGGUCCCUGCCAUGGCCGUGAGCAGAGCUGCUGCCGCCCCAGCGAGAGGCGAGAGCAGUGGCUGCCCAGAAGCAAGAAAGCCAAGAGAGCUGAACGAGGGGCACGUGGGCAGGGCCAGGAGGGAGGAGAGAAGGAAUUUGUUCCU